AGAGUUUGAUCCUGGCUCAGGAUGAACGCUAGCGACAGGCCUAACACAUGCAAGUCGAGGGGUAACAGAUGAAGAGCUUGCUCUGAUUGCUGACGACCGGCGCACGGGUGAGUAACAAGUAUGCAACCUACCUUUUACAGAGGGAUAGCCCAGAGAAAUUUGGAUUAAUACCUCAUAAUAUUUUUAACUCGCAUGAGUUUUAAAUUAAAACUUCGGUGGUAAAAGAUGGGCAUGCUUUCUAUUAGUUUGUUGGUGAGGUAACGGCUCACCAAGACUAUGAUAGAUAGGGGGUCUGAGAGGAUAGUCCCCCACACUGGUACUGAGACACGGACCAGACUCCUACGGGAGGCAGCAGUGAGGAAUAUUGGUCAAUGGUCGAAAGACUGAACCAGCCAUGUCGCGUGAAGGAUGACGGCCCUAUGGGUUGUAAACUUCUUUUGUAUGGGAAGAAAAGCAGUUACGUGUAACUGUCUGCCGGUACCAUACGAAUAAGGAUCGGCUAACUCCGUGCCAGCAGCCGCGGUAAUACGGAGGAUCCAAGCGUUAUCCGGAUUUAUUGGGUUUAAAGGGUGCGUAGGCGGCUCUAUAAGUCAGUAGUGAAAUCUCGAAGCUCAACUUCGAACGUGCU
This 628-nucleotide ribosomal RNA is filed under the name uncultured bacterium. Its description in RNAcentral is "bacterial SSU rRNA". It matches the Rfam family "Bacterial small subunit ribosomal RNA", at positions 8 to 625 of the family's 1533-position model. The record is from RNAcentral.